Molecule: long non-coding RNA, 276 nt
Filed under: Elaeis guineensis (African oil palm)
Lineage: Eukaryota; Viridiplantae; Streptophyta; Magnoliopsida; Arecales; Arecaceae
Description: long non-coding RNA (EGUI_LNC076895)
Source: RNAcentral
CUAGAGCUUGGUGGUGACUGCAGGACUGUGGCGGCUGGACGGCGGUGGUAGGAUUCACAAGAAAAGUCUCCGAUCGAAGUUGGCUCCGAUGAGAAUCCUCUGAUGCUCAAGUCAAAAAUCUAAAGCAUAGAGGGAAGAAGUGAGCACUUUUGGGGGAGAAGUUUUUCAUACCUCAAAGUUCUCCCAUGAGUCUUUAUUUAUAGAUGAUGUUGAAGAGCAGUGAGAAUGAAAGAGGAUCAGACGGUUAGUCUUACUUUAUCUAACGAGAUUCAGCUG